This 256-nucleotide long non-coding RNA is filed under the name Setaria viridis. RNAcentral's name for it is "long non-coding RNA (SVIR_LNC007151)". Lineage: Eukaryota; Viridiplantae; Streptophyta; Magnoliopsida; Poales; Poaceae. The record is from RNAcentral.
GACGGUUGAGCUGUGCGUUGAAACUGCUGAUUUUGUUGAUAACUCCCACCCUAUCCUCCUGAGCGGAACUGGGAUCCCUGCGGUGAGUUGAAGCGGGGACGGGUGUUGCUACUAGAUUGGCCUUGAGACUGAAAUUUCCUCUUUUGUUCCCCGAGCUCUUUACGUUUACUUUCCAAACCAAUGGCUUUGUCCAACAAAGUUUGGAAGUUAGGAAAUGUGUGACUCUGCAGCUGAUAAUUGAGUGGCCCUAUCAGAC